GACGAACGCUGGCGGCGUGCCUAAUACAUGCAAGUAGAACGCUGAAGCUUGGUGCUUGCCCCGAGCGGAUGAGUUGCGAACGGGUGAGUAACGCGUAGGUAACCUGCCUGGUAGCGGGGGAUAACUAUUGGAAACGAUAGCUAAUACCGCAUAAGAGUAGAUGUUGCAUGACAUUCGCUUAAAAGGUGCAAUUGCAUCACUACCAGAUGGACCUGCGUUGUAUUAGCUAGUUGGUGAGGUAACGGCUCACCAAGGCAACGAUACAUAGCCGACCUGAGAGGGUGAUCGGCCACACUGGGACUGAGACACGGCCCAGACUCCUACGGGAGGCAGCAGUAGGGAAUCUUCGGCAAUGGACGGAAGUCUGACCGAGCAACGCCGCGUGAGUGAAGAAGGGUUUCGGAUCGUAAAGCUCUGUUGUAAGAGAAGAACGAGUGUGAGAGUGGAAAGUUCACACUGUGACGGUAGCUUACCAGAAAGGGACGGCUAACUACGUG
Molecule: ribosomal RNA, 497 nt
Filed under: uncultured bacterium
Lineage: Bacteria
Description: partial 16S ribosomal RNA
Rfam family: Bacterial small subunit ribosomal RNA
Source: RNAcentral